Molecule: long non-coding RNA, 513 nt
Organism: Alexandromys fortis (reed vole)
Lineage: Eukaryota; Metazoa; Chordata; Mammalia; Rodentia; Cricetidae
Exons: 3
Source: RefSeq, a predicted model, not a curated record
UUGUACAACCACUCUGGAAAGCAGUGUGGCGGUUUCUCAGAAAAUUUGGGAUCAACCUACCCAUGGACCCAGCAAUACCACUCUUGGGAAUAUACCCAAGAGAGGCCUUAUCAUGCAACAAAAAUAUAUGCUCUACUAUGUUCAUAGCAGCAUUAUUUGUAAUAGCCAGAACCUGGAAACAACCUAGAUGCCCCUCAAUUGAAGAAUGGAUGAAGAAAGUAUGGAAUAUAUACAUAUUAGAGUACUACUCAGCAGUAAAAAACAAGGACUUCUUGAAGUUUGCAGGCAAAUGGAUGGAAAUAGAAAACACUAUCCUGAGUGAGCCCUCUUCGGUACAGUAAGCACUGCCCAAGCAGACAUGGACAGACUCGGGAGAAAAGAAGAGGAAAGCAGAUCUGUUGAAGAUAUAUCUGAAUUGAGAACCGGCACUAAUCCAGGAUAGGAGUGCACAAAUGUUUGUUACCCGAACCAACAGAGUGGAGUCUUCUAGAUAGUUUCGUCUUCUCAUACAUG